AAGACAACGCACUUUUGUUCAAAUCAGCUGAGGUAAUGGCAAACAGAGAACCCUCUGACUUCAGCUACUCUCAGAGUCCUUCUGUUCACAGCGUUACUUUGUGCUGGACACCCGGAUUUGCUGCUUAAGUGCUGAACAUGUUCAGACAAGAUGGAAGAAAUUGUUCAAAAAGGGAGAUGGGAAGAAAAAAAAUUCUCUGAAGAUGGAGGAGUAUCCGUGUCAGGAUGAAGAAAUUGGCAAGUGGAUAAAUGUGACAAAACAGAAAAAGAGAAGGAAAGAAAAUUCACUAGGUGUGUUUGAUUGAACAGCUUGUAUGAGACUGAUUUUUUUACUGGAGUCUUCCAGCUGUCGGUGAAAAACAGGAGUUGGAUGGAGAGUUUCACCAAGCCACAAAUUUUUGAGCUGGAUCUCAAGAUGAGUAGGAAUUUACCAAGGGAUAAAAAAAAAAAAAAAAAGGAGAGAGAAGAGAAUGCUUCACCAGCAGAGAAAGCAAGCAGCAUGGACCACAGGGUCAUCAAGUGAACACUGAUGAGGCCACAACUGUGCUACUGGUCCAAUGCACUGAGAAGGCCAUUAGCCCAUCCGGUGAAACUGAAUGUAAGACCAGAAAGGAACCUCGGAGGUGACAAGUGAGUGACGGUGCAUUAGAUGUGUUGCAAGUUCAUGACUUUACAAUCUGAUUGGAAGGAGAAUUACCCACAUUAUUUUCACUUGUCGAAGGAAGAGGAAGUCUAGUAAAGAAACAGAACUGAAAGAGAGACCAAAUGGCCAUUCGUCUUCUGAGUCAUUUCUAUUCUGUUUAUUUCUCCAUUUGCUCAAUUUCUUUGAGUACGCAUGAGGCUGAACUCGCAUGUCAUCAGGGGAGAGAGUGAUGGCCCAGUGGUUCUAUUGAGUCCACGUAUGUGCUUGCCGUUACUCACAGCUGGGCUGACUUGGGGGAUUUUACCUUUGGAUCGGAGCAUACAAAUACUUCCAUCAAUAUUCUAUUUCCCAAAGGCAUGUUUCCAGAAUGAAUUAUGCUCACAAACCAAGGUUUUACUGUACUUCAUGUCUUCCUCUCAGCUGCCAGACUGAGGUGAGAUGCAGUGUGAACGUGGAGCCGGUGCAGACAUGAAAUUUAUCUUCAAAGGCGAGUGAGAAGGGGGUGAUAUAGAGAUCGGGAGAUGAAUGAACCCCUGAAGUUUACUUUGGAAAACUUCUGGUUUUUAAACCACAUCCAGAUUAUCAGUGCGGUGCUUUGGAAAGUAUCACAUUUGUUGGAGAUCACUGUUGUCCACUGUCUUGGCCAUUAGGGGACUGAUGUAGGAAGAGUGGAUACAAGUAUUUUCAGCUUGAAAAACAUUCAUGCGGAUGUCGGUGCAGGCUCACCAGUCUGGAAGUUUUGUGUGGGCACUCCGCAGCGGAAUCGCCAGAUAAGAGAUACUGAAUAGUUUUGCGAGAAGAACUUGAGAGGAAAGAGGGAAGGUCGUGGCGGUGAGGAGUUUGCCCUUUCUGCAGUUGACAGCGGUGAAUAAAUUACUGGUGGAAGAGAAACGAUUCAUGCAUCGGACUUUUUCAUUGUGUCCUCAGGAUCAUAAAACAUAUUUGAUAAACAUUUCUGAGACCAAGUUGCUCUGAGAUUGUUAUCGUUACUAACUAUUCUUUGUGUAAUAGCAGAACUCGUUUUGUAAGACACAAAUGACCCUAUUCUCCUGGUCUGAAUGGAAGAUGGAGAUUUGCUCGUCACAUCCACCUGUGUAUGUUCUGAGGCAGGAUACAUGCACUGUGGGAGGAUGUAGAAAAGAAUAAAAAUGGACUCCUUCACCUUCUCGAUCUCAAGUCCUCUCCUGGCCAGACUGCUGCAGACAGAGGUGGCACAUGGCCUUUGGACAUAGCCCUUCGAUGCUGCUGUGAACAUGAAUCAUGACGAUAUUUUGAGAAGUCCUUCUACUGAUGCUCAGGCUGAAAGCCGUGGUCACUUGACCACAUAUCUGCACCUAACAUGUCAACAUCCUCGCCAUACACCUCAGUCCUUCUGCUGCCAAUCACAGCUUGUCUAUCUUAAGUCCCAUCCCCUCAGGACCCUGCAUUCUUUGCAAUGAUAAUGGGUGCUAAUGGAAUAAUUUGAGAGACUAAUCUCUGAUAAUGUUACUCUUCUCAAGUAAAAGUCUAUUUUAGUCUAGUUAAAAUGCAGAGCACCUUUAGAAGGUCUUUAUGGAGUGACAGGAAAAUUGGAAAUUUCUGACAGACCAAUCAAGAGAAGAUAUUUUGCACCAGUGAGUUAGCUGCACUAGCUGAGUGUUCUGCAGGUUGACUGAUGGAGCAGUGGAGACUGCAUUUGCCCAUCCACGUUAAAUAACCAAAUCUAGAAAAACAAUUCAAACAAUGGGUUGCAGAAACAGGACACCAGGCAGCACAGGAUACUGAUCCACAAUAGAGGAGAAACAAACAAGAACCUACAUGGGAAGAAAGUACUCCUUGACGAACUCACCCGCAAAAGAACAUAUGUGUAAAGAAUUUCUCUAUGUGAAUAAAUAAUUUUGAUAAAACACAUCCUUAAAUGAAGAAUGAGGGCAUCUGGAAUCUUUCAUGUACCUUUUGCUUCUGUGAUGGAUCUUUAGGGGAACAUCUCUCAAUGUUGCAGUUAGAACUUCGCAUCUUUGAUUCUUUUGGAUUUGGAAGGUGUCUUCUUUGAUUUCUAUAGAAUGGUCUGGUUUCCAUUUACCAGAAGGUACAGAAGAAAGAGAAGACUAUUUGGUGAAAAACUACAUGAUUCGUAAUAUUUAGAAGACAAUUUAUUCUGAUCAGCUGAAUAACCCUAAUCAAAAUGUGUGAACUCUGACAUUAUUUUGUUCUCCACUUGGAAAUGAUUUCUGUCCUUGGACCUUGAUCCACAUGUUGCAAAAGAAUAUUUUAAAAAGAGAAUAAUUACCCACCAUGCUCUGUCACAGUGUCCACUGCCACCUGAGAACAAAAAAGCUCUCUUAUUUACUAACGACGUCCUUAGUUUUCCUUUGUGUCGUUUUCCCCCUUAUGUAUGUGGCGCCUCGUGUUUUUUACGCUUCUUUGCCAUCCUGCUGUGAGGAAGAAUAGUAAUCACAUCUAAUUAGAAAAAAUUAAAAUGCUAUGACUCACAGAAA
Lynx canadensis (Canada lynx) is the source of this 3119-nucleotide long non-coding RNA. RefSeq lists it as uncharacterized. NCBI's taxonomy places the organism in Eukaryota, Metazoa, Chordata, Mammalia, Carnivora, Felidae. The transcript is spliced from 17 exons. The record is from RefSeq and is a predicted model, not a curated record.